This 233-nucleotide long non-coding RNA is filed under the name Salvia miltiorrhiza (redroot sage). Its description in RNAcentral is "long non-coding RNA (SMIL_LNC000997)". The record is from RNAcentral. Lineage: Eukaryota; Viridiplantae; Streptophyta; Magnoliopsida; Lamiales; Lamiaceae.
CAGAGGGAGGAAGGAGAAGAAGAAGGGAAGAGAGAUAGAGCAAGAGAGAGAAAGCGUAGAGAGAGAGAGAGCGAGUCAGCGAGAGGAGAGAGAGGAGUAUGAAUUUGUGGCUAAUUUUUUAAUUUUAUUGUUAGGGGUAAUUUUGUACUUUUACACAAAAAGUGGCCAAAUUUUAAAGUUUUUAUUUGACUGGCCAAUUUUUAAGUUUACUAUAUGAAAGUGGCCAAUUUCAU